Molecule: non-coding RNA, 72 nt
Organism: Phrynosoma platyrhinos (Desert horned lizard)
Lineage: Eukaryota; Metazoa; Chordata; Lepidosauria; Squamata; Phrynosomatidae
Source: the annotation of a GenBank genome assembly
GACAGUGUGGUUAAGUGGUUUUAGCAUUGGACUGUGACUCUGGAAGCCAGGGUUCAAGUCCUUGCUUGGCCA